RNAcentral lists this ribosomal RNA (468 nucleotides) under uncultured bacterium. RNAcentral describes it as "partial 16S ribosomal RNA". It matches the Rfam family "Bacterial small subunit ribosomal RNA", at positions 28 to 507 of the family's 1533-position model. The record is from RNAcentral.
GACGAACGCUGGCGGCGUGCUUAACACAUGCAAGUCGAACGGAAAGGCCCUGCUUUUGUGGGGUGCUCGAGUGGCGAACGGGUGAGUAACACGUGAGUAACCUGCCCUUGACUUUGGGAUAACUUCAGGAAACUGGGGCUAAUACCGGAUAGGAGCUCCUGAUGCAUGGUGGGGGUUGGAAAGUUUCGGCGGUUGGGGAUGGACUCGCGGCUUAUCAGCUUGUUGGUGGGGUAGUGGCUUACCAAGGCUUUGACGGGUAGCCGGCCUGAGAGGGUGACCGGCCACAUUGGGACUGAGAUACGGCCCAGUCUCCUACGGGACGCAGCAGUGGGAAAUAUUGCACAAUGGGCGGGAGCCUGAUGCGGCAGCGCCGCGUGCGGGAUGACGGCCUUCGGGUUGUGAACCGCUUUCGCCUGUGACGAAGCCUGCGUGACGGUAAUGGGUCAGGAAGCACCGGCUAACUACGUG